RNAcentral lists this ribosomal RNA (149 nucleotides) under Lepus capensis (brown hare). RNAcentral describes it as "partial small subunit ribosomal RNA". The record is from RNAcentral. Lineage: Eukaryota; Metazoa; Chordata; Mammalia; Lagomorpha; Leporidae.
UCCCAAACUGGGAUUAGAUACCCCACUAUGCUUAGCCUUAAACCUAAAUAAUUUCCUAACAAAAUUAUUCGCCAGAGAACUACAAGCCAGAGCUUAAAACUCAAAGGACUUGGCGGUGCUUUAUACCCGCCUAGAGGAGCCUGUCCCAU